AAGAUGUGCGUUAAUCGGGUAUAUUAAGUGGUGGUUAGUUAGAGCGAAAAUCAAGAUGUACCAACAUCUAAUAUUGGGAACUCUGUCGCUAGUGCUUGCCAUUCAAGCUGCACCUCGACCUGACCAAUACCUUACAGCCAGAGAUGCUCUACAGCUCUGUAGAGAUUUAGGUGUCGAUGUGGAUAAUUUGGUCUUGGAUCAAGACCAAGUCAUUUCACCAGUAGAAAACAAGCGACUUCGACAAUGUUUCGACAUCUUACUAUCAGCUGAACAGAACCAACUAACCGAAGCUGCGCUAACGAUGGUACUGAUGAAGAGAUUACAGACUAAUCGAGCAUUGGGUUAUCCCAUCCUGGACUUGGUGUCUAAAGGCUUGACUGCUGGCAAUCCAGAAAAAAUCGUAGCUACGGGGAUUAAGACGUUAAGUCGCGUGAAACGACAAAUGAUGUUUGCUGGUGGUCCUGGUGCCGGUGGUGGUGAGGUUGGUGAGGAUCCAGGAAAACGAAUGAGAAAAAUGAGAAUGGGGUUACCACUCGGUGAGCCAGGAGAAGAUGUAGGGAAGAGGAUGAGAAAUCGUGGGAUGGCAAGAGGUAGAAUGUAUCCGCGAAUGUAUAAUUACAGGCCCCCCUACUUCUGGAUGAGAUACAGACCAUAUUUUCAAUAUCGCUAUCGUCCACGACCAAUUGCAACUACUCCCGCUCCAUGAAUGUGUAAAAUGAAGGAAGAAAGACACCCAAUAGGAAACUAUAAUCAUUUUAAUUUUUGUAGCUGCAGACACAUUGAUGAAGGUCAGUGUGAGAUUGAAAGGGCCUUAAAAGCCAACUCUCACUUCUACGUUCAUCAAACACAUUGUAAGAUGAUGUAUAGACACUUGUUAAUUAUACAUUUUGAAGAAAUAAAACGUAGAUUUUC
Long non-coding RNA from Patella vulgata (common limpet), 912 nucleotides. RefSeq lists it as uncharacterized. The record is from RefSeq and is a predicted model, not a curated record. The transcript has 4 exons. NCBI's taxonomy places the organism in Eukaryota, Metazoa, Mollusca, Gastropoda, Patellidae.